AUUGCCUCAGUAACGGCGAGUGAAGCGGCAACAGCUCAAAUUUGAAAUCUGCCGCAAGGCCGAGUUGUAAUUUGUAGAGGAUGCUUCUGGGCAGCGGCCGGUCUAAGUUCCUUGGAACAGGACGUCAUAGAGGGUGAGAAUCCCGUAUGCGACCGGUUGGCACCCGUCACGUAGCUCCUUCGACGAGUCGAGUUGUUUGGGAAUGCAGCUCUAAAUGGGUGGUAAAUUCCAUCUAAAGCUAAAUACCGGCCAGAGACCGAUAGCGCACAAGUAGAGUGAUCGAAAGAUGAAAAGCACUUUGGAAAGAGAGUUAAAAAGCACGUGAAAUUGUUGAAAGGGAAGCGCAUGCAACCAGACUUGUCGGCGGUGUUCCGCCGGUCUUCUGACCGGUCUACUCGCCGCGUUGCAGGCCAGCAUCGUCUGGUGCCGCUGGAUAAGACUUGAGGAAUGUAGCUCCCUCGGGAGUGUUAUAGCCUCUUGUGAUGCAGCGAGCGCCGGGCGAGGUCCGCGCUUCGGCUAGGAUGCUGGCGUAAUGGUCGUAAUCCGCCCGUCUUGAAACACGGACCAAGGAGUCUAACAUCUAUGCGAGUGUUCGGGUGUCAAACCCCUACGCGUAAUGAAAGUGAACGGAGGUGAGAACCGCAAGGUGCAUCAUCGACCGAUUCUGAUGUCUUCNGAUGGAUUUGAGUAAGA
This 693-nucleotide ribosomal RNA is filed under the name uncultured fungus. RNAcentral's name for it is "LSU rRNA". It matches the Rfam family "Eukaryotic large subunit ribosomal RNA", at positions 74 to 799 of the family's 3401-position model. Lineage: Eukaryota; Fungi. The record is from RNAcentral.